AAGUAAACAAGUAUUAUGUGCAAACAGUACGCAUAGAAAGUAGGUGCUGUUUUUCUAAUAUUAAUUUGACGUUAGUUAUUUCAGCUUUACGAUAGUCAAAAAUGGUUCAAUAUUUUUCUGUAUGUAUAUUUUGCCCGACCAAAUAAUGCAUGCACUUUGCAAUGUAUAAUAGGCUGCCAAUGUAAAGCAGGCUACCUCUUAAACUCUAGAGAAAAUUGCGUUUCACCCCUUGCGUGUUCAAGGAAUACCUACUUGGGUAAAUUUCAAGCAUUGGAUAGAAUAGAAAAGCUUUAUGAAGGUCAAAAUGGUUCGAUAUAUUUCUGUAUGUGUAUUUUGCGUUAUGCUGGUUGCUUUUCACCUGGAAAAUAUAGACGCUCAACGGCAGUGCCCUCCGGGUCAAGAAUUUACAACUUGCGGAAGUGCUUGUCCGCCAGCUUGUAAUCAGGACCCAAAUCGAGCAUGCACUCUGUAGGCUGCCAAUGUAGACUAGGCCUCCUCUUGCACUCUUCAGGAAAUUGCGUCGAACCGAAAGAUUGUUAAAUUUCAAGCAUUGCACGGAAUAGAAAAGAAGUGGAAGUUUUCAAUAAAUAUUCAUUUAGAUAUCAUAAUAGGUAUACAUAUUUUAACUUGUCUUACUUUCUGUAAUUGCAUUUCUAUCUAGUUCUGGGUAAAUAUUAUAUGUGUCAUGUGUACUUGAUAAAGUAGAUCACAAAAACAAUUAAAAUAUUGGGAACAAAUUCAUUAGAGACCUUGAUUAUUUCAAGUUGAAAAUUACUCAGGAAAGACAUUUCAGCUCGGGAGAAAUCCUUGGAGGGGAGAUAUGGGUCCUCAAACAAAGCGCAUAUUAUUUUUUCGCUCUAGCUUUUACUAAAUCAGUAAUGGAAUAAAAAUAGUACUGUUUGAAAAAUGACGAUGUUUUAGAUUCUGCAUCGACGAGUACUACGAGUAUGUAGACCAUUGCCAUCAGAAUCCACCACCUUUAUUCAGGGUUCUUACUGAGCAGUUGAAAAAUACCCAAUAUGGUCACUAACAAGCACCAAUCGCGUUUUACAUGCUAAAGUCUCAAUUCGGACAGUUUUUAUGACAAUUUUCGAAAAGUUUGAAUUUCCAAAAUUGACUGGAGGAUGGAGGCCUUCGAAACGACUUGAAACCGCCUCCAAUCGACUCGCCAUCAUCGAGUACAAUUCUAUGGAAAUUUCAACUUUCAAAAAUCUGCGCGGGGUGGGGGAGGGGGUUCCAGAAGUUCUAGAAUUGCUCAAUACGAUAGAUUUAGUAAACGUUUUCAAUGGACUUGAAUGGUCAAAAAUGGAACGCACACCAAAUUUUCAACAUAGGUACCUCUACCUACCUAUGCGUAAGUUUGGUAAAAUUCUGAUAUUUUUUCGAAUUUUUGGUUCAAAUUUGAUUUUUAAAAAUUCAAAAUUCAUCAAAAAUCAUUGUCGAAAAUUUACACUUUCGGAAGAGAUUUCAAGAAGUAUCCAUUCCUCUUCCUAGAAAAUUAAUCACCUAAAUAUUCCACUUUUUUGCAUUAAAAAAAUAUCAAUGACUAAGAAAUGUCUACCAUUUUCAUUUUCAAGGAAGAUUUACGAAAAAUUAUCAUUUUUUUGG
Long non-coding RNA from Planococcus citri (citrus mealybug), 1608 nucleotides. RefSeq lists it as uncharacterized. Lineage: Eukaryota; Metazoa; Arthropoda; Insecta; Hemiptera; Pseudococcidae. The transcript is spliced from 5 exons. The record is from RefSeq and is a predicted model, not a curated record.